UAACAGUGAAUUUUCAGAAGAGCUCAGUGGGUUCUCCCCCCAUCGCCAAGGCUGUACCUCACCCUGCCCUCCCGCUUCCCUCACCCUCCACCCAUCUUCCCCCCAAAACCCUUUUCUGAAAGCAGAGGAGCUGCUCGGAGCAGGAAACAAUGUGGCUGCUCUGAAAAUACACCAAUUAAUAUCAGCGUUUCAUUUCUUAAUGAGAACUAACUACAGCUACUGUCCUCUCAGACUGCUGAUGAACUGCAUCAUCUGCAUGGAAAAACAGAAACAACUAAACCCUUUUCCUACAUCUCAAGAACACCCUUCGCCUCGCAGAGAACACUUCAAAAAUAAAUGCAUGCUGUUAUCGGUGGUAUCUUUUCAGCAUUAAAUUAAGCUGCAGAGCGCCCAUCCUAGCUCGGUGCUGAGCCCUUCCCUCUUCAUUCCUUCCACUGCCAUUCCCAGUCUGCCUUCCACUCACGAGUCCAUCUCACACCUCACCCCAACGUAUGCUUUUUUCCUGUGACUUUUUGUGUUUCCUCCUGCGUCACCCACUGUUUAAUUCUGCAGUAGAUUCGCAAAGCUGUAUGCGUGGAAAUUACUAUAGAAAGUUCUCUUGAAAUAAAAUUUCAGAAAAUUACUUUAGGCA
This 631-nucleotide long non-coding RNA is filed under the name Numida meleagris (helmeted guineafowl). RNAcentral describes it as "lncRNA (ENSNMEG00000005064.1)". Lineage: Eukaryota; Metazoa; Chordata; Aves; Galliformes; Numididae. The record is from RNAcentral.